RNAcentral lists this transfer RNA (66 nucleotides) under Lethocerus indicus. Its description in RNAcentral is "tRNA-Trp". It matches the Rfam family "tRNA". From Rfam's summary of the family: Transfer RNA (tRNA) molecules are approximately 80 nucleotides in length. The record is from RNAcentral. Lineage: Eukaryota; Metazoa; Arthropoda; Insecta; Hemiptera; Belostomatidae.
AAAGCUUUAAGUUAAAGUAAACCAUUAACCUUCAAAGUUAAAAAUAUGGAUAGUCUGUAAGCUUUA